UGCCCGCAAGGGAAUGUAGUGAGAGGUGCUGCAUGGCUGUCGUCAGCUCGUGUUGUGAAAUGUUGGGUUAAGUCUCGCAACGAGCGCAACCCCUAUCGUCUGUUGCCAGCAUUAAGUUGGGCACUCUGACGAGACUGCCUGGGUUAACCAGGAGGAAGGUGGGGAUGACGUCAAGUCCUCAUGGCCCUUAUGUCUAGGGCUACACACGUAAUACAAUGGCGCGUACAGAGGGAAGCGAACUCGCAAGGGGGAGCAAAUCUCAAAAAGCGCGCCUCAGUUCGGAUUGGAGUCUGCAACUCGACUCCAUGAAGUUGGAAUCGCUAGUAAUCGGAGAUCAGCACGCUCC
Molecule: ribosomal RNA, 346 nt
Filed under: uncultured Peredibacter sp.
Lineage: Bacteria; Pseudomonadati; Bdellovibrionota; Bacteriovoracia; Bacteriovoracales; Bacteriovoracaceae
Description: bacterial SSU rRNA
Rfam family: Bacterial small subunit ribosomal RNA
Source: RNAcentral